UCUUUGAAACAUAACUAGUGAGGCUGGGUGUGGGAUGGCUCACGUCUGUAAUCCCAGCACUUUGGGAGGCAGAGGCAGGCAGAUCACCUGAGGUCAGGAGUUUGAGACCAGCCUGGCCAACAUGGUGAAACCCUGUUUCUACUA
Molecule: long non-coding RNA, 144 nt
Organism: Sapajus apella (tufted capuchin)
Lineage: Eukaryota; Metazoa; Chordata; Mammalia; Primates; Cebidae
Exons: 3
Source: RefSeq, a predicted model, not a curated record